Molecule: ribosomal RNA, 534 nt
Filed under: uncultured bacterium
Lineage: Bacteria
Description: bacterial LSU rRNA
Rfam family: Bacterial large subunit ribosomal RNA
Source: RNAcentral
GUAGUAGUGGCGAGCGAACGCGAGCAGGCCAGUGGUCUGUGCAAGAGAAGCCGAACAAUCGUGGAAAGGUUGGCCGCAGUGGGUGAUAGCCCCGUAGGCGUAGUGCUUGCAUGGAUCCUUGAGUAGGCGGGGCACGUGAAACCCUGUCUGAACAUGGGGGGACCACCCUCCAAGCCUAAAUACUCCUUGGCGACCGAUAGUGCACAAGUACCGUGAGGGAAAGGUGAAAAGCACCCCGACGAGGGGAGUGAAAGAGACCUGAAAACCGGAUGCUUACAAGCAGUCGGAGCUCGCAAGAGUGACGGCGUACCUUUUGUAUAAUGGGUCCGCGAGUUCGUGUUGGCAGCAAGCUUAAGCCGAGAGGUGUAGGCGCAGCGAAAGCGAGUCUGAAUAGGGCGCAUAGUUGCCGGCAUGAGACCCGAAACCUGGUGAUCUAGCCAUGGACAGGUUGAAGGUGGGGUAACACCCACUGGAGGACCGAACCCACGCCUGUUGAAAAAGUCGGGGAUGAUCUGUGGUUAGGGGUGAAAGGCC